CACCGGUGACCUACAUGGCUGUCAAAAGAUUAAUCUAAUGCUAUUUUGUGUAAAAUUUUCGCGAUAUUGCAAUUUUCGAACUGAAUGAUUUCGCUUACGUAAAUUAAUCAAAUUAAAUUUUAUCUAAUUUCAAAUUGAUUAAAAUUUCAAAGUGUGACAAUAUUUUUGGCAACAUUUUUAGUUACUUGAAAGUAUAAUUUAAAUUAUGCAGUAUUAAGAGGCGAAAUGCAACAUGACAUGUCAUACAGCCGGCUAAAACGGAAAAAUAUUAAAACGAAAAUUUCUUAAUUAUUAAGUACAAUACGUGUGAUAUUGACGAUGUAAGAAACAAAUGAAUUAAACGUGUAUUGUUACAAGACAACAGACGGAUGGGCAUCCGACAAAUGAAAUAUAUGGCGUUUCUUCACUAUAACGAAAUAAAACAAUGUAGUGAACAGUUAUAACUGCAAGGUCACACUUGUAACAAUUGUAACCUCUGUGCUUAGUGCGAGUUUUUUAACAUUCGCGAUAGCCAGAGCCGGAUUUAAACUUAAUGCCGCUCCUGGCCACCGGAAAAAAAUCCGCCCCAAUACUGGAAUUUUACUUAAACUUAGAAAAUACGAAAACCAAUUAUUAUUUUAAAUCUCCAAGGAAGUAAAUUGAUUAAAUCAUUUUAUUAAUUUUUACCAAAGGAAACGAAUAAACUGCGAGAGAUUCUAAAUAAUUAUUAUAAAUAUGUGAUGGGAACAGUUCCCGAAGAGAGACUGCCACAGAAAACAUGCCUUUUAAGGAUCUUUAAUAAUAUUAAGAAUCUACCACCGGAUCGGAAACGCGACCCACUGAGAAGAUCCGGCGAGAAAUUCAAUGGGUAUAUUGCUACCAUUUCCAUUAUUAGACGACUAUUUUUGAACCCCAAAAUUGUAUGGAAUGUUAAAGCGGUACACAUAUAUAAUUAUCAACUUUUAUAUAUAAGCAUGAACUUAAGUAGGUGAACCUGUGUAGGAACAUGAGUAGGUUCCAAAAGAUUGCAAUAUGCGUGUG
Molecule: long non-coding RNA, 1020 nt
Organism: Bombyx mori (domestic silkworm)
Lineage: Eukaryota; Metazoa; Arthropoda; Insecta; Lepidoptera; Bombycidae
Exons: 4
Source: RefSeq, a predicted model, not a curated record